Molecule: ribosomal RNA, 2917 nt
Filed under: Acinetobacter baumannii
Lineage: Bacteria; Pseudomonadati; Pseudomonadota; Gammaproteobacteria; Moraxellales; Moraxellaceae
Description: 23S ribosomal RNA
Rfam family: Bacterial large subunit ribosomal RNA
Source: RNAcentral
GUUGUAUAGUCAAGUAAUUAAGUGCAUGUGGUGGAUGCCUUGGCAGUCAGAGGCGAUGAAAGACGUGAUAGCCUGCGAAAAGCUCCGGGGAGGCGGCAAAUAUCCUUUGAUCCGGAGAUGUCUGAAUGGGGAACCCACCUACUUUAAGGUAGGUAUUGCAACAUGAAUACAUAGUGUUGCAAGGCGAACGAGGGGAAGUGAAACAUCUCAGUACCCUUAGGAAAAGAAAUCAAUUGAGAUUCCCUCAGUAGCGGCGAGCGAACGGGGAUCAGCCCAUUAAGUUAUGUGUGUUUUAGUGGAACGCUCUGGGAAGUGCGAACGUAGAGGGUGAUAUUCCCGUACACGAAAGGGCACACAUAAUGAUGACGAGUAGGGCGAGGCACGUGAAACCUUGUCUGAAUAUGGGGGGGACCAUCCUCCAAGGCUAAAUACUCCUGACUGACCGAUAGUGAACCAGUACCGUGAGGGAAAGGCGAAAAGAACCCCUGUGAGGGGAGUGAAAUAGAUCCUGAAACCGCAUGCAUACAAGCAGUGGGAGCACCUUCGUGGUGUGACUGCGUACCUUUUGUAUAAUGGGUCAGCGACUUAUAUUCAGUAGCGAGGUUAACCGUAUAGGGGAGCCGUAGAGAAAUCGAGUCUUAAUAGGGCGUUUAGUUGCUGGGUAUAGACCCGAAACCAGGCGAUCUAUCCAUGAGCAGGUUGAAGGUUGGGUAACACUAACUGGAGGACCGAACCCACUGUCGUUGAAAAGCCAGGGGAUGACUUGUGGAUAGGGGUGAAAGGCUAAUCAAGCCUGGUGAUAGCUGGUUCUCCCCGAAAGCUAUUUAGGUAGCGCCUCGGACGAAUACCAUAGGGGGUAGAGCACUGUUUCGGCUAGGGGGGUCAUCCCGACUUACCAAACCGAUGCAAACUCCGAAUACCUAUGAGUACUAUCCGGGAGACAGACUGCGGGUGCUAACGUCCGUAGUCAAGAGGAAAACAAUCCAGACCGCCAGCUAAGGCCCCAAAAUCAUAGUUAAGUGGGAAACGAUGUGGGAAGGCAUAGACAGCUAGGAGGUUGGCUUAGAAGCAGCCACCCUUUAAAGAAAGCGUAAUAGCUCACUAGUCGAGUCGGCCUGCGCGGAAGAUGUAACGGGGCUAAAACUAUGUGCCGAAGCUGCGGAUGUAUACUUUGUAUACGUGGUAGGGAGCGUUCUGUAAGCCGAUGAAGGUGUGUUGAGAAGCAUGCUGGAGGUAUCAGAAGUGCGAAUGCUGACGUGAGUAACGACAAAACGGGUGAAAAACCCGUUCGCCGAAAGACCAAGGGUUCCAGUCCAACGUUAAUCGGGGCUGGGUGAGUCGACCCUAAGGCGAGGCCGAAAGGCGUAGUCGAUGGGAAAAUGGUUAAUAUUCCAUUACUUCUGUGUAAUGCGAUGAGAGGACGGAGAAGGCUAAAUCAGCCUGGCGUUGGUUGUCCAGGUGAAAGGAUGUAGGCAUGUAUCUUAGGCAAAUCCGGGGUACUCUAUGCUGAGAUCUGAUAGCAAGCUGUACUUGUACAGCGAAGUGGUUGAUGCCAUGCUUCCAGGAAAAGUCUCUAAGCUUCAGUUACACAGGAAUCGUACCCGAAACCGACACAGGUGGUCAGGUCGAGUAGACCAAGGCGCUUGAGAGAACUCUGCUGAAGGAACUAGGCAAAAUGGUACCGUAACUUCGGGAGAAGGUACGCUGUUGUUGGUGAUGGAACUCGCUUCCUGAGCUGACGACAGCCGCAGAAACCAGGCCGCUGCAACUGUUUAUUAAAAACAUAGCACUCUGCAAACACGAAAGUGGACGUAUAGGGUGUGAUGCCUGCCCGGUGCUGGAAGGUUAAUUGAUGGGGUUAGCGUAAGCGAAGCUCUUGAUCGAAGCCCCAGUAAACGGCGGCCGUAACUAUAACGGUCCUAAGGUAGCGAAAUUCCUUGUCGGGUAAGUUCCGACCUGCACGAAUGGCAUAAUGAUGGCGGCGCUGUCUCCAGCAGAGGCUCAGUGAAAUCGAAAUCGCUGUGAAGAUGCAGUGUACCCGCGGCUAGACGGAAAGACCCCGUGAACCUUUACUGCAGCUUGACACUGAACUUUGACCUUACUUGUGUAGGAUAGGUGGGAGGCUUUGAAGCUGGAACGCUAGUUCCAGUGGAGCCGUCCUUGAAAUACCACCCUGGUAAUGUUGAGGUUCUAACUCUGUCCCGUGAUCCGGGACGAGGACCGUGUCUGGUGGGUAGUUUGACUGGGGCGGUCUCCUCCUAAAGAGUAACGGAGGAGUACGAAGGUGCGCUCAGCGUGGUCGGAAAUCACGCGUAGAGUAUAAAGGCAAAAGCGCGCUUAACUGCGAGACCCACAAGUCGAGCAGGUACGAAAGUAGGUCUUAGUGAUCCGGUGGUUCUGUAUGGAAGGGCCAUCGCUCAACGGAUAAAAGGUACUCUGGGGAUAACAGGCUGAUACCGCCCAAGAGUUCAUAUCGACGGCGGUGUUUGGCACCUCGAUGUCGGCUCAUCUCAUCCUGGGGCUGAAGCAGGUCCCAAGGGUAUGGCUGUUCGCCAUUUAAAGAGGUACGCGAGCUGGGUUUAGAACGUCGUGAGACAGUUCGGUCCCUAUCUACCGUGGGCGCUGGAAAUUUGAGAGGAUCUGCUCCUAGUACGAGAGGACCAGAGUGGACGAACCUCUGGUGUACCGGUUGUGACGCCAGUCGCAUCGCCGGGUAGCUAUGUUCGGAAGGGAUAACCGCUGAAAGCAUCUAAGCGGGAAGCCUACCUCAAGAUAAGAUUUCCCUAGGACUUUAUGUCCUCUAAAGAGCCGUUCGAGACUAGGACGUUGAUAGGUUGGAUGUGGAAGCAUAGUGAUAUGUGAAGCUGACCAAUACUAAUUGCUCGUGAGGCUUGACUAUACAACACCCAAGCAGUUG